RNAcentral lists this ribosomal RNA (261 nucleotides) under uncultured bacterium. Its description in RNAcentral is "partial 16S ribosomal RNA". It matches the Rfam family "Bacterial small subunit ribosomal RNA", at positions 1231 to 1500 of the family's 1533-position model. The record is from RNAcentral.
UGGCAGGUACAGAGGGAUGCUACCGGGCGACCGGAUGCGGAUCUCGAAAGCCUGUCCCAGUUCGGACUGGAGUCUGCAACCCGACUCCACGAAGUUGGAUUCGCUAGUAAUCGCGCAUCAGCCAUGGCGCGGUGAAUACGUUCCCGGGCCUUGUACACACCGCCCGUCAAGCCAUGGGAGCCGGGGGUGCCUGAAGUUCGUUACCGCAAGGAUCGACCUAGGGCAAAACUGGUGACUGGGGCUAAGUCGUAACAAGGUAAC